Molecule: ribosomal RNA, 393 nt
Filed under: uncultured bacterium
Lineage: Bacteria
Description: partial 16S ribosomal RNA
Rfam family: Bacterial small subunit ribosomal RNA
Source: RNAcentral
AUACGGAGGAUGCGAGCGUUAUCCGGAUUUAUUGGGUUUAAAGGGAGCGUAGGUGGGAUAUUAAGUCAGCUGUGAAAGUUUGGAGCUCAACCUUAAAAUUGCAGUUGAUACUGGUUUCCUUGAGUACGGUACAGGUGGGCGGAAUUCGUGGUGUAGCGGUGAAAUGCUUAGAUAUCACGAAGAACUCCGAUCGCGAAGGCAGCUCACCGGGCCGGAACUGACACUGAUGCUCGAAAGUGCGGGUAUCAAACAGGAUUAGAUACCCUGGUAGUCCGCACAGUAAACGAUGAAUACUCGCUGUUUGCGAUACACGGUAAGCGGCCAAGCGAAAGCGUUAAGUAUUCCACCUGGGGAGUACGCCGGCAACGGUGAAACUCAAAGGAAUUGACGGGG